This 495-nucleotide ribosomal RNA is filed under the name uncultured bacterium. RNAcentral's name for it is "partial 16S ribosomal RNA". It matches the Rfam family "Bacterial small subunit ribosomal RNA", at positions 28 to 507 of the family's 1533-position model. The record is from RNAcentral.
GACGAACGCUGGCGGCGUGCCUAAUACAUGCAAGUAGAACGCUGAAGGAGGAGCUUGCUUCUCUGGAUGAGUUGCGAACGGGUGAGUAACGCGUAGGUAACCUGCCUGGUAGCGGGGGAUAACUAUUGGAAACGAUAGCUAAUACCGCAUAAUAGUAGAUGUUGCAUGACAUUUGCUUAAAAGGUGCAAUUGCAUCACUACCAGAUGGACCUGCGUUGUAUUAGCUAGUUGGUGAGGUAACGGCUCACCUAGGCAACGAUACAUAGCCGACCUGAGAGGGUGAUCGGCCACACUGGGACUGAGACACGGCCCAGACUCCUACGGGAGGCAGCAGUAGGGAAUCUUCGGCAAUGGACGGAAGUCUGACCGAGCAACGCCGCGUGAGUGAAGAAGGUUUUCGGAUCGUAAAGCUCUGUUGUAAGAGAAGAACGAGUGUGAGAGUGGAAAGUUCACACUGUGACGGUAUCUUACCAGAAAGGGACGGCUAACUACGUG